UACGAAGGGGGCUAGCGUUGCUCGGAAUCACUGGGCGUAAAGCGCACGUAGGCGGCUUUCUAAGUCGGGGGUGAAAUCCUGGAGCUCAACUCCAGAACUGCCUUCGAUACUGGAAAGCUCGAGUCCGGGAGAGGUGAGUGGAACUGCGAGUGUAGAGGUGAAAUUCGUAGAUAUUCGCAAGAACACCAGUGGCGAAGGCGGCCCACUGGCCCGGUACUGACGCUGAGGUGCGAAAGCGUGGGGAGCAAACAGG
Molecule: ribosomal RNA, 253 nt
Filed under: uncultured bacterium
Lineage: Bacteria
Description: partial 16S ribosomal RNA
Rfam family: Bacterial small subunit ribosomal RNA
Source: RNAcentral